GAUGAACGCUGGCGGCGUGCUUAACACAUGCAAGUCGAACGGUGAACACGGAGCUUGCUCUGUGGGAUCAGUGGCGAACGGGUGAGUAACACGUGAGCAACCUGCCCCUGACUCUGGGAUAAGCGCUGGAAACGGCGUCUAAUACUGGAUAUGUGACGUGACCGCAUGGUCUGCGUUUGGAAAGAUUUUUCGGUUGGGGAUGGGCUCGCGGCCUAUCAGCUUGUUGGUGAGGUAAUGGCUCACCAAGGCGUCGACGGGUAGCCGGCCUGGGAGGGUGACCGGCCACACUGGGACUGAGACACGGCCCAGACUCCUACGGGAGGCAGCAGUGGGGAAUAUUGCACAAUGGGCGCAAGCCGGAUGCAGCAACGCCGCGUGAGGGAUGACGGCCUUCGGGUUGUAAACCUCUUUUAGCAGGGAAGAAGCGAAAGUGACGGUACCUGCAGAAAAAGCGCCGGCUAACUACGU
RNAcentral lists this ribosomal RNA (468 nucleotides) under uncultured bacterium. Its description in RNAcentral is "partial 16S ribosomal RNA". It matches the Rfam family "Bacterial small subunit ribosomal RNA", at positions 28 to 506 of the family's 1533-position model. The record is from RNAcentral.